RNAcentral lists this ribosomal RNA (301 nucleotides) under uncultured bacterium. RNAcentral's name for it is "partial 16S ribosomal RNA". It matches the Rfam family "Bacterial small subunit ribosomal RNA", at positions 509 to 808 of the family's 1533-position model. The record is from RNAcentral.
CAGCAGCCGCGGUAAUACGAAGGGGGCUAGCGUUGUUCGGAUUUACUGGGCGUAAAGCGCACGUAGGCGGAUCGAUCAGUCAGGGGUGAAAUCCCAGAGCUCAACUCUGGAACUGCCUUUGAUACUGUUUGGCUUGAGUUCGGGAGAGGUGAGUGGAAUUCCCAGUGUAGAGGUGAAAUUCGUAGAUAUUGGGAAGAACACCAGUGGCGAAGGCGGCUCACUGGACCGACACUGACGCUGAGGCGCGAAAGCGUGGGAGCAAACAGGAUUAGAUACCCGAGUAGUCCCUGUCUCUUAUACA